RNAcentral lists this transfer RNA (72 nucleotides) under Ornithorhynchus anatinus (platypus). It matches the Rfam family "tRNA". Rfam says of the family: Transfer RNA (tRNA) molecules are approximately 80 nucleotides in length. The record is from Rfam by way of RNAcentral. Lineage: Eukaryota; Metazoa; Chordata; Mammalia; Monotremata; Ornithorhynchidae.
AGCAGCGUGGCUCAGUGGAAAGAGCCCGGGCUUGGCAGUCAAAGAUCAUGGGUUCGAAUCCCAACUCUGCCU